UUGGCCUGUGAAAAAUCAAAAAACAGAAAUAAAAUCAGACUUCUUUAGAAGCGCAAUAAUUACGCCUUUUUCCUGCCCAAUCAGAACUUAUCUCUUGCCGUCUUGUCCCUUCAUCUGACAUUUCUUCAUCAAGACACUUUCAUAUCCCCAAGGGGAGCACUUCUCCAUCAAAUCCAUUGGCAUCCCUCUUCAAACUCCCCAAUUUCACUUUCUUCCUUCCAUUUUCAAUCUGGUUCUCUCGUCCUGUCCCUCUCCUCUUGCUUCUCUACAGAUUCUGGAACACUUCCUACCAGGUAUAUUUCCUCCUUAUUCUUCAACGUUUCAUUUGCUAAAAGAUGAGCUAAACUGUUUGCUAUUUGUGGGAUGAAUUCAAAUCUACAUUCCCUAAAUUUUAACAAAAGCUGAUGAAUCUCAUGAAUAUAAGCGCCUACCAGAGACUUGUCUGGGCUUUUCGCCUUGCAUUUUUUUAUUAUUGACAAGGAAUCUCCUUCAAUAAUAAUUUUUUGCCAUUGCAUGUCAAUACCGAUCUGGAUCGCUUUCCGGCACGCGAGUGCCUCAGCAACGAAAGUAGAUGCAACUCGUUGAUGGAUCUCCGUACACGAUAAAAGAACACUUCCUUCGCUAUUUCUGGCCACGACCCCUACUGCCGAUUGGCAAGUUCUUGCAUCAUAUGCGGCAUCAAAAUUAAUCUUCACAACCUGAUCAGAUGGGUGCCUCCAUUUUCUAACAAUAAAAGAGUUUUGUGUAUUUCUUUUAUCACUCUCGUUUAGCUCUGAUAUAUAAUUAUUAACGAAAGUUACUAUUUUUUUUCCAGAUUUACUAGCCUUCUUAUGCACUCCAGCGUUCCUGUCUCCCCAAAUGACCCAUAAAACAUAGCAAAAAAGCCUACACUGAGAUGGCGACCUCUGCGAAAAUACCCAGGUUAGCCACUGUAAAAACCCCAAAUGGGUUUAUUGUAUAGAAAACUGGCCUGAUAACUCUCUCUAAACUGAAACUGAAAUAGGACAUUCACGAAAAAGAUAGUCCAUAUUCUCUGUUCCACUUCCACACUGAGGGCAUAUUGUUGUGUUCGUUAACUUUCUUUGUAACAUAUUACCUCGUAUAGGUAGAUAGUUCCAUGAUAAUUUCCAAACUGUAAUUUUUGUAGCCAUAGUUUUUUGUAAAAUUCCUUAUAGUCGGCUUGUAAAACGUAAGCUGUAGGAUUGCCUUCAAUGCUCUGUAAUAGUUUAUAGGCACUACGUACUGUGUAUUCUCCCGAUGGCUCACCACUCCAUGCCCGAAAAUCAUUGUGAGGUUCCUCUGCCAACGGAAUACGGAGAAUCUUCUCGGCUUGUAAUGACAUAUUUCACGGACACCGAAAAAGUGAGUUUAAGGUUUCCGUAUUAGGAAAAUGAGUUAGUAAAUAUUUAUAAAAAAAUAUUUAUGAAGUUAGUUGUGAGUUGAAUUAGAUUUUAAUUAGGUGAAUUUAUUUUUAAUUAGAAGUGCUUAGUAGAAAGGAUUAAAUUGAAUAGAGCAUAAAAGCUUAAUAAUAAAAUAGAGAAAGGAUAAAUGAUUAAAUUAGUAAUUAAACUAAAUUAGUGACAUGUGUAAGUUAGAAAAUAAAUACAUGUGUAUUUAAAUUAUUAGUACAAGUAUAUAUAAUAUAUAAAUUUACUUAUAAAUUAAGUAAAAGAUAUUUACUUAUUAUUAUUAUUAUUAUAUUUUAUCAAUUAAUUGAGAUAAUGAAAAAUAUAUGGUGAUGAAAUAUUACAUGUGUACAUGUAUGUAUGAAUACACAUGUAGUAUUUUUAUUUGUAUUAAUUAAAUAUUUUAUAAUUAAUUAUUAAUUUAGUAAAUGAAAGAAAUAAAAUGAAAUAAAGAAUAAAUAAAAGAAAGAAAAACAAGAAAAAGAAACACAAAAGAAAUGAAAUAGAAAGAAAGAAGAAAAGAAAAGAAAAGAAAAAGGAGAAAUUAGGGUUUGAAAGCUUGGAAGUUAAAUUGGUACGUCAAUUAAGUUUCUUUCUUAGUGAUUUUGAUAUUUUUGAAGUUCUAAAGUUUAAUACUUUUGAAUUUGUGUGAAAAUAUUGAAAGAUGAUAGACUUUUAAAUAGGGUUUAUGUUGAACUAAUGAUGAAAUUAGGAGUUUAAUUGAUAGAAAUUUUGAUUUAAAUUGAUUAAAGGAUUGAACUGUAAACAAGGUCAUAAGUUUUGUGUUUAGGGACUAAAUUGAUAGAAAUUUAAAAUUAUGGAAAAAUGAUAAAUGUUUGAUGGAAAUUGAAUAAGGAAAUAAUAUGAAUUAUAAAAAGGAAGAAGAUGAAAAUAGUUAGGAUAAAUUUGGGAUUUAGGUUAAAGUUGCAUGGAAAGUUAUUAUUUUCUAUAAAAUAAGUGUGUUAUUAAUUAAUUAUAAUUAUGUUAAUUUUCAUAACAAACAAGGAAACUAAGACUUUGAAUGAGAAGGGAAAAGAAAAAGUGAUUGAGGAGUAGCUCAAAAAAAUAUCGGUUUGUAUUACCUUAAUUCAAGUUAUUUAUUAUUAAAUGUUUAAUUUCAAUAUAUGUGUAUGAAAAAUGAAAUUGAGGUAAGCAGUGAUAAUUGAAUUGAAUGAGAAUUGGAUUUGAUUGAUGAAUGUAUACAUGUGUGAAAUUGAAUUGUAUAAUGAUUUGUGGUGAAUUUGAAAUUGUGAUUGAAUUGUUAUUGUGAUUGAUUUGAAUUCGAAUGAUUCCAAUAUCCUAUUAACUAGUUGGGGUAGGUUGGAUAUAGUUGGCAUGUCAUAGGAUAGGAAGAAUUCAGGGAUUCUUCGAUCUCGAGUCGAUAAAACACUUGUUGUGUCAUAUUUACUUCGGAUAGAUUCGAUGAGGCGUUGGUCGCCGCUUUGCUUUGGCUUAGCUGAUGAGACGUUGGUCGUCACUUAUUUGCUUCGAACUAUCCGAUGAGGCGUUGGCCGCCACUCUGGUGUGUUUGGUUGGAUCCGUGUAUUCUCUAAAGUCCGAGUUAUGUUAAUAGGGGAAAUAUAUGUGAAGAGAAAAAUUAAAUGAAAUUGAUAAAUUAAAUUAUUGAAUGAAAUGAGAAAGUGAUAUUAUAAGAUGAAAUGAGAAAUAUAAUUUGAGCUAUGAGAUUGAAGGCAUAAAACCUAGGCUAAUGAAUUAUUCAUAUUUGAAUGUGAAUUGGAUAUUUAUAUGAUGAAAUGAGAAAUAUAAUUUGAGCUAUGAGAUUGAAGGUAUAAAACCUAGGCUAAUGAAUUAUUCAUAUUUGAAUGUGAAUUGGGUAUUUAUAUGUGAUUGAGAGAUGAACGAAAUGUUCAUGAAUAGUUGGUAAUCUUAUUGAUGAGAUAUUGAAUCAAAUAAUGAAAAUGAUACAAUGGAAAUAUGAUAAUUUAGAAUGAAUUAUAUGUAUGAUUUGUUAAUUAUCUAUGCAUGUUUAUAAUAUUUUAUAUUUUCUAUAAUUUGAAUUAUGGUAAUACUACUGAGUAUUUUCAAUACUCAGCGUACGGUUUGUUUCCGUGCGCAGGCUAGGUAAAGUUGAAGUUUGGUACAGCAUCCGAGUCAAUCCUAACCUCAGCUUAAUUUCUGGUGAAGAAUCUAUCUUUUGGAAAUGUGGCAUGUAUUAGGUUUUGUUUUAGUCACUUAAAUAUAUUUAUGUUUUGGGUGUAAGUAAUUUGUAACUUUUAAGAAGUAUUUGAAAUGAAUAGAUGAAUGUUAUUUGGUCAAGAUUUAUAAGUCAAUGUAUUGGGCAUGAAUUAGGUGUGUUUGAUAUGUGAAAAUAGCUUUAAAAUGGUGAAAAAUCAUGUUUUCACACGGCCAAGUCACAUGGGCGUGUGCCCAGGCCGUGUGGUAAAGUCAAAAUUGCCCACAAGUUAGUCCCAUAGCCAUGUGAGCAAGUCAGAUUUGCCCACGGGUUGGCCCUAAGACCAUGGGAGCCCCCCUGGCAGGCCACACAGGCAUGUCCCAUGCCACACGGGCGUGUGCCCCUAUUUUCAAGGAAAAGUUUCUAAAGUUCCCAGUUUAAUCCUAAAUCACUUCCUAAGCAUAUGUUGGGUCUCGUAGGUCCAUAUUUGGGACUUAAAGGUGGAAUUUGAGAAAUUUUAAAUUAAAACAUAGAUUUAUGACUCGGUGUUGUUCGUUAUAAGUGUUUAAUUCUAGUAAUUCUUUGUAACCCUGUUCUGGCAACGGGUUGAGGUUAAGGGGUGUUAUACGGCUACUUCCUCCGAAAAAGUAGACAUUAUCAACUCCUUUUUCCAUAUUCUGCUACUUGAUUCAAUUAGCUCAGCAACUUUAAAAAUGCUCAAAUUAUUAAUUAAAGACGAUAAUUUGGUAUUUUUUGCAUCUGGAAUCCAAAAAUCAUUAAUAGCUAAAAUAUCGGUACCAGUAC
Molecule: long non-coding RNA, 4344 nt
Filed under: Gossypium barbadense (sea-island cotton)
Lineage: Eukaryota; Viridiplantae; Streptophyta; Magnoliopsida; Malvales; Malvaceae
Description: long non-coding RNA (GBAR_LNC007544)
Source: RNAcentral